AGUGGAAUUGGUGGGUCAUAUGGUAAGUUUUAUAUUUAAUAUUUUAAGAAGCUGCCAAACUGUCUCUCAGAGUGGCUGUACCAUUUUACAUUUCCAUCAGCAAU
RNAcentral lists this microRNA precursor (104 nucleotides) under Marmota monax (woodchuck). The record is from RNAcentral. Lineage: Eukaryota; Metazoa; Chordata; Mammalia; Rodentia; Sciuridae.